Molecule: long non-coding RNA, 596 nt
Organism: Candoia aspera
Lineage: Eukaryota; Metazoa; Chordata; Lepidosauria; Squamata; Candoiidae
Exons: 4
Source: RefSeq, a predicted model, not a curated record
CAGAGUGUCUCGAUGUUUAUGCCAUCUGGUUCUUUUUCUGAUUUCUGCUUUGCCUCUCUAAAGAUGCUUUGACAGCAAGUUCCUUUUGGCUGCCUGGCUGGAAGCUUGGCUUGUUUGCUUAACCUUCUCCACCCUCUCCCCUUCAGAAUUAAUCUGCACCAAGGGAGGUAAGCUGGAGCAGGGAAAAUGAGAGAGCUCGGCAUAAGAGAAAUAUAUUGGACCCUGGUGAGAAAGCAUGCAGGAAACCUCAGAGACAACAAUGAACCUGGAUUCUUCACAAGAGUAUACCCUGAAGUCCCAGCUCGACAAGACUUUAGUCACCAAAGGCCCAGGCAGCAAGAUUACACAAGUGACCAUUUUCAGUUAAGACUAGGAAAUAACCUUGACAUGAUCGGGAGACAAUGGCUGCAAUCCUAGACAAGCUUUCUCUGGAAUAAAUCCCAGGGACAUAAUAAAAAUAUUUCUGAAUAUGAACAUGUGUCGGAUUGUCCGGGAUAUUUGAUCCUGAAUUUUUUGCCCUUCUGCUUGAAGAGGAAAAGCAAUACCAGUGAGCUACUCAGAUAAAAUGAUUGCGAUGUUAUUACCCCAGAGUAGCA